Molecule: transfer RNA, 72 nt
Filed under: Patescibacteria group bacterium
Lineage: Bacteria
Description: tRNA-Trp
Rfam family: tRNA
About the family: Transfer RNA (tRNA) molecules are approximately 80 nucleotides in length. Their secondary structure includes four short double-helical elements and three loops (D, anti-codon, and T loops).
Source: RNAcentral
AGGUCGAUAGUGUUAAUGGUAGCACAACAGUCUCCAAAACUGUUAGUCCUGGUUCAAAUCCAGGUCGACCUG